Onthophagus taurus is the source of this 1393-nucleotide non-coding RNA. The record is from RefSeq and is a predicted model, not a curated record. NCBI's taxonomy places the organism in Eukaryota, Metazoa, Arthropoda, Insecta, Coleoptera, Scarabaeidae.
UUUAUUAAUGACUUUUAUUUCCGGUGGGAUGUCACCUACAAAAAAUCUACGUUGAUUUUCAGUGGAGGUCAAGCUUAAAUGGACAUCGAUUUUCCAUGGAUGUCGACUUUCUUAGGAUGUCGACAUUCUUAGAGUGUUGACUUUCUUAGGGUGUCGACUUUCCAUGGAAUUCGUCUAUCCAUGAACAUCAACUUUCAACAGACAUCGCCUUCGUUGCGACGCCCGUGAAAUUGCAUUAGCAAUCCGUCUUUUCAAAACCACGUCGUCUUUUCAAAGUGCACGUGGCCGGAUGAAGCCGCGAAGUUAUUCAUACCUGGAGGCGGGAGACAAAAGUUCGUGAGUGGGAUAUGGAAACGCUUUCAGACACAUUCCAUUAUUAAUGCAUCUUUCGAUGCACCAUCACUUACAGGUGCAAAACUUGCCCAGAAGUCCCACGGUUGAACAUGGGUAACCUCUCCAAUUUCGCUCUCCUGAGAACAGAAGCCGGAGUCCUCUUCUUCGGUUAAUUAAUAAUUCAGCGUUUGGGCACUUGAACAGAGGCUAACUGAAAUUUUCAAGCAAUUACGACUCCUCUGUAAUUAUCCGUUUCUGCCGAAUCACUUUGAUAAUGGUGAGAGGAUUAAAUUAGAAACGGCAAUCGAUACAGGGGAGGAUUUAAUUAAGGUUCCAUCGGGUGACAGGAAAAAAAAAGGGUUUUAAUGAGUGCGAGAAUCUCGUUGUAUCCUUUUUAAUUUCGUGAACAAAAAAGUUUAAACUUUUUUUUUUAUUGAGUGCUAUUUAAGGUUGAUAAUUUCUUUGAACUGAACACUUACAAAUUUGGUCAAUUUAACUGACUGAACAAAACGCACCUUUUUCAACUUAUUAUCCCAGUUGAAUGAUGGUUCAGUGAGGGGCUCCCGGGACAAUUGAAGCAUCUUGGAGAAAUUAAGUAAACGACAGACAUUUAUAACGGAAGCCACCCCCAUCCCCAACUCCAAUUGCUCUAUUAUUCGAUGCCGGAGAUUGAUACCGGGACCUGAGGGGGCGGCUUUUAUGCCACUCGAGAGCCCCUUCUGGAAACUUUACGAUUACCGCUAUAAAUUCCGGUAAAUAUUUUCCUUAGCAUAUUUCUCGUUGGGUGGAAAUUUAUGUAAAGCUCAUCCCGAGUAGAAUGGAAAGCGGAUUAGAAACCCGUGCGAACAGCCGAUAGACUAUGAAUCAAAGGACGAAUGAAGGGUGAAAUUACGUUUGGCCAAAAAGAUUUUCAAGACGGGGUGCUGGUAUUUCGUAACACCUUUAAAAAAAGACGUAACGCGGAUGAUUAAUAGGGCAUUUAAGAGAUAAUUAAACAACAACGCGAGAAUGGUAUGAAAAAGAAGAAAAGAUAAGAAAAGGAUACCUUUAAAAAGUUAAG